CGGGUGCACUGAUCCAGCCGGGCCUUUCCCUCUGUGGAACCCCAUGGCCUUCACUGGCUGUGGUGGGGAAACAGGACUUUUACUUUGAAAAAAUUAGAGUGCUCCAGGCAGGCCUAUGCUCGAAUACAUUAGCAUGGAAUAAUAGAAUAGGACGUGUGGUUCUAUUUUGUUGGUUUCUAGGACCGCCGUAAUGAUUAAUAGGGACAGUCGGGGGCAUCAGUAUUCAAUUGUCAGAGGUGAAAUUCUUGGAUCUAUUGAAGACUAACUACUGCGAAGGCAUUUGCCAAGGAUGUUUUCAUUGAUAAGGAACGAAAGUUAGGGGAUCGAAGACGAUCAGAUACCGUCGUAGUCUUAACUAUAAACUAUGCCGACUAGGGAUCGGACGAUGUUAUUCUUUGACGCGUUCGGCACCUUUCGAGAAAUCAAAGUGCUUGGGCUCCAGGGGGAGUAUGGUCGCAAGGCUGAAACUUAAAGAAAUUGACGGAAGGGCACCACCAGGGGUGGAACCUGCGGCUUAAUUUGACUCAACACGGGGAAACUCACCAGGUCCAGACACAGUGAGGAUUGACAGAUUGAGAGCUCUUUCUUGAUUCUGUGGGUGGUGGUGCAUGGCCGUUCUUAGUUGGUGGAGUGAUUUGUCUGCUUAAUUGCGAUAACGAACGAGACCUUAACCUGCUAAAUAGCCCGUACUGCUUUGGCAGUUCGCCGGCUUCUUAGAGGGACUAUCGG
Molecule: ribosomal RNA, 729 nt
Filed under: uncultured eukaryote
Lineage: Eukaryota
Description: SSU rRNA
Rfam family: Eukaryotic small subunit ribosomal RNA
Source: RNAcentral